CCACUCAUCACCCUCGCAUUUUUAAAAUUCAUUCAGCUCGUCCUCCGCUCUGAUUUAACAGUACUCACUAGCCUGCUCUCCACCUCCUACACUCAUUACUCUUACAUUUAUAAAACGCACCCUCACCCCUCUGAAAAUCGCAUCUCUUCAGUGUUUCACUGACGGUCUCUUUUCUUCUCCUUUCUUUAUUUUCUUCCUUCUUCUCUUUUCUUAUUCUUCUCUUUACUUCGACUAAGUCUAAGGAGACCGAGAGGGAUUGAAAGAGAGAGAAGGGGAGAGGCUGAGUGUGAGGAUCCGUUCGGCGGUGGGCCAGCGCCGGUAGGAACAGAGGUCGGAGGAGCAGAACCCGACAAACGGCGGCCCUGGAGCCCGACUUCCGGCAAGGCAAAGAUGAUCCGGCGGCCAGAAGCUACCUUUCCCGCGGAUCCGUGCUCUGACCCAGUGAAGUCCUGCGCGAUCUCCGGCGAUUGGGGGCUGUUCUCCGAUGGUUUUUGACGGUAGAGGACUGCCGGCAAACUGCGGAGAACCCGGUUCUGCCAGGGAUGGUUUUCCGGCGAGUUCCGGUGCGAAUCCGGCAAGUCCCAGUGUGUUUCCGGUAGUAUCCUUCCAGCGGCCCGAUGAUGCGUUUUCGACGGCACAGUGACGACUCGGGCAGUGUUCUUCCGGCAAUUUCAGUAGAUUUUCUGUCGAAAAUCCCUAGAAGAUGAAUUAAGAGGCUGCACAAAAGGCUGGUAUGAGGAAGAGGAGAGUAUCAGGAUUGUCCAGAUCUUUAGGAGAUCUUGAUAGCAGUGUCUGAGGCUAGGAUGCCUCCCACUUUUGUGGACUACUAUGUCUAGUCCAUUAUUAUUAUUAUAUUUGGAAAACGAUAUUUAUAUAUUUGUUGAUUUGUAAUAAGGAUACUCUGAGGGAUUUGAUUGUAAAUUUUUUGUGCCAUACAUGGCACAAAUAAUAUUUUUAAUGUGUAAUUAUUCAAUUACACUCUUUCUAUAUAUUUUGAAGUAUUUUCCUUAGAA
Molecule: long non-coding RNA, 1013 nt
Organism: Alnus glutinosa
Lineage: Eukaryota; Viridiplantae; Streptophyta; Magnoliopsida; Fagales; Betulaceae
Exons: 3
Source: RefSeq, a predicted model, not a curated record